AUACUCGCUUCGGCGGUACAUAUAGUAAAAUUGGAACGAUACAGAGGAGAUUAUCAUGGCCCCUGCACAUCGAUGACACUACAGCUGGUACGGUAGCUCAGCGUGUU
This is a small nuclear RNA of Schistocerca gregaria, 107 nucleotides long. The record is from RefSeq and is a predicted model, not a curated record. NCBI's taxonomy places the organism in Eukaryota, Metazoa, Arthropoda, Insecta, Orthoptera, Acrididae.